UACGUAGGGUGCAAGCGUUAAUCGGAAUUACUGGGCGUAAAGCGUGCGCAGGCGGCUUUGCAAGACAGAUGUGAAAUCCCCGGGCUUAACCUGGGAACUGCAUUUGUGACUGCAUGGCUGGAGUGCGGCAGAGGGGGAUGGAAUUCCCAGUGUAGCGGUGAAAUGCGUAGAUAUUGGGAGGAACACCAGUGGCGAAGGCGGCUCACUGGACCGGUACUGACGCUGAUGCGCGAAAGCGUGGGGAGCAAACGGG
Molecule: ribosomal RNA, 253 nt
Filed under: uncultured bacterium
Lineage: Bacteria
Description: partial 16S ribosomal RNA
Rfam family: Bacterial small subunit ribosomal RNA
Source: RNAcentral